UGCGCCCGUGUGUAUGUUUGCAUUUGUGAAUGUGUGCGUGUAAAUUCGAACGUGAAUACAGGGGUGUGGAUACAUGUGUGGGUGGCGUAUAAUUGCAUGUGUGUGUGUGUGUGUGUGUGUGUGUGUGUGUGUAAUGACUGUGUAAUGAAUGAUUUCUAAAAGUAAACGAUUUAAAGGGCAAAAGACAAUCACUGCAAAUCUUUAAGGCACACUUCGUGUCCCAGUCUGCGUACGGGUGGCCAUGAAGUCCAGUGAUUAGCCACCUCUCUCAGCUGUAAUCCGGCCUGUCCACUUUGACCACCAGGUGACCAACAUGGCCCUUAAUACCGACCCGACGGGCACCUGUCAUUGGUCAGUGUGGGAAGGUCAGCGGCGGCCAUCCCCACCUGAAUAGCCAAUGGUCAGUACUCUUGUUAAGUGCGAUUAGUAAUGACUUGGGGUUGAAGUUAUUUGAGACACAGUGUAAAGGAAGACCCCAAUUAAGACUGAGCCGAGGACUUACCCCUGUCUACUGUGUCCAGUCACAAGGGUCCACUGUGAGUUUGGCCACUGUUCUGACCGUCUCCACACCUGCUCGGACGCUCAAGGAAACCGUCCAGCCUCAUUUCUUGGUAAUCUCCCUUCACAUCGUAUAUAAGGUGGGCCUAUGAUAUCGCCGGAUUCCCUGCCUGUCACCCUGGACUGUGCUAGAUAAGAGACCAGUUGAAGAUAAAUUCAUAACGAAGAGGGGAAGGGGACCUCCUUUUAAAAGUCAGUCAAGUCACAUCUAAUAUACAUGUUCGUCCGAUGUCGAGGCUGGCGUGAGGAGGGCAUCCACUUGGAGAGAACCCAGAAAGCCGGAUACAAGUUGUGGCAUGUAACAAGUGGAUAAAGCAGCGUCAGCAGUUUAUAGGAAAACGACAAGAGGGUUUGCUGCUUUGAACAUAGCGCAUUCCGCGUGGCUCUCCACCUAAAGUUGACUCACAACGCAACUCGUGCUAAGAGGAAGACGACACAACGAGGACCAGAAGACACACGUUGAAUGCAACGACACAACCAUCCCUCAGGACGCACGCGCUCUGGCAGACCUAGCGCCGCCAUGAGGUUUAAAGAACGAUUUAUACAGUGGGAACAAAACAGUCGACUCCGCGGGCGAUGGGUGUUCUUAAUUUUCGUCCUCUCCGGGAUGCUUCUCGUCGGAGUUCCGUUUCUAUUGAUGAUACUUGGAGGACGUGUAGGGCCAGCCGGACAAAGAUUUGGAUUUCUAGGAAUUCUAAUAGGCCCCGCAGUUUUUAUAUUUUCUUGGACGAUGUAUUGUGUAUGUUCUCUGGGGAGAGAGUGCUCCCAAAACGUUACUUUGGAUGAUGAGAAGGAGGUAAAAGUUAAACAUGAGAAUAGCAGUUCGGGUGGAGGUUAUUUCACAGACUAUGCUAAGUACAGGGCGGCUAAACUGAAAAGUGACAGUACGCCUGCGCACAGUACGUCGGCGGGGGCGCCAACGAUAACGACGCUAGUUUUUGAGGAGAGCGAAGCGCGCUCAACGUCGGAACCGUCGAGUCCCUUUUUAGAUAGGGACAGCGUCUCAAUAGCUGAGUCAAACGUGACCUGUCUCGAAAUCAGAGACAGCUUAGCCAAAAAAUAUUACUACAGAGUGUUUGAUGAAGAUUUAGACGAGUAUGCCUCUUUCGAACCUGUUAAAAUACACAACUCUGGGCAGAUUAGGCACUCGGCAAGUUUGGACAGAGAAAAAGUCAACAAAGCUCCGAUUGUUUUACCGAACAAUUUACACGCGUCGGUGAAAACAAAGGAUAACGUUAAAGGCCAAUCAGGCGGCUUAUACAAGGAUAAUACAAAGGAAACGUUCCAUAUGCUCUCCACAGAAUGGCUGGCUCAUAUCGCCAAAUAGUGUUCUGGGGCUGAGGAAUAAUUCAUCUUAGGUGCUUUUUGACGGUGUUAAUGCUGACAAAAUUUUAAAGAUUUUCAUUUCUAUAGCUGUACUUAGAUGGUCAGAAAAUUUGUUAAAUGACAUGUUAGCUUAGAGGUAUUAGACAAUAAGAGGUUUUGAUGUAGUCUAGGAUCCAAAAUAAGAAUCCUUGACGUAAUAUUGGUACUUCUUUACACAACUAUGUGUUCUCCAAAUAAUUAAACCGUCAACUGUUA
Long non-coding RNA from Lingula anatina, 2139 nucleotides. RefSeq lists it as uncharacterized. Lineage: Eukaryota; Metazoa; Brachiopoda; Lingulata; Lingulida; Lingulidae. The record is from RefSeq and is a predicted model, not a curated record.